CCAGGCUUGAACAGCGAGUGACCAGCUCCGAAAGGGGCCUUCCGCAAGGACACUCGUAGAGGUGCUGCAUGGCUGUCGUCAGCUCGUGUCGUGAGAUGUUGGGUUAAGUCCCGCAACGAGCGCAACCCUUGUUUGCUGUUGCCAUCACGUUAUGGUGGGCACUCUGCAAAGACUGCCGGUGAUAAACCGGAGGAAGGUGGGGAUGACGUCAAGUCAGCAUGGCCUUUAUGUCUGGGGCUACACACGUGCUACAAUGGCAGAUACAAACCGUCGCGAGACCGCAAGGUGGAGCUAAUCGGAGAAAGUCGGUCUCAGUUCGGAUCGUAGGCUGCAACUCGCCUGCG
This 344-nucleotide ribosomal RNA is filed under the name uncultured maize rhizosphere bacterium c15_68. RNAcentral describes it as "bacterial SSU rRNA". It matches the Rfam family "Bacterial small subunit ribosomal RNA", at positions 975 to 1320 of the family's 1533-position model. The record is from RNAcentral.